UGCCCGGAACAGAUCAGGUGUAAUGGCGCGUAUUUCUCUUUGCAGCUUUCUAUCUGUACAAAAUUUAAGUGAGUUUUCUAACGCUGUAGGGGGUAUGGUUGAAACAUUGAUGGCUUCUCCUUGGGUCGUGUGAGGUUUCAUUGAUGCUCUGAUACAAUUAUAGUCGAAAUGACAGCUGUGAUUUCACAUUACGUACCGUUUGACACAGUUAAAUUGACUUAAUUGAUUGAAAUAAAUGUGCUGGUAUUGUUUGUAUGUUUAAAAUGCAUUUUGUGAAUUUCGUUAGACAACGAACAGGACGUCUUGUUUAUUUCAGAUACUAAAGCAGGGAUAGCAGGUACCUGAGCCAUACCGGAAGCCCCGUCCGUUUUGCGCGCGUGUGAAAGGGUACGUCACUUCCUUUGCGCGAACUUUUAGGACUCUCUGGGACAUGCUGUAAUAUUUGAGCGUAAACAACCCGAGUGAAAAUAUGGGUUCGGUUGUAUACCAACGGCUACAGAGAUUUCUCCUAAACGAUGAAAACGAUGAUGACAUUUCUCCAAUUUCAUCAUCAAAGGUCUCAGAAUCACCUUACAAAGCCGGUCCACAGUGACAUCAGCAUCCUCUGAUUGGUUGAUCAGAGCAAAAGUGGGAGCAAUCUGGAGAGGAGGAUGAAUUUAAUCGACAAAUAAUCAGUAAUCUCUGGUGAGUAUAUUGAUCUUUUGUCAUGUUAUUACAUAAAUAUUGAUUGUGAACGGCUUCAGAAGUUCCAGAAAUCCCAAUAAUCCUGCAGGGUUAAGUGGGUUUCAUGUUUCAAUAAUGUUGUAUUGUGUUUUGUUUGUUAUGGAUGGUUGUGUAAAGGUGAAGCGAUAAUGGUGGUAUUAAGUGGGCUAAAUCCCCUCUAAAGGCACCAAAUGCACCACCCAUCACUUUGUGUGCUUAAUGUGUACAUGUCAAAGUCCACAAUUACAGUUGAAGAAUCCCGAGUGGGACCCCAGAUGAUCGUUAUUUCCAUACACUAGUUUCAGAGUUUAAUAACAUACAGAACUGCACUUCAUCAUCAGUUUUGUUCCCUCAUAUUUUGCCUCAAUUGUAGCUAAAGUUUGUAUGUUUGUCUCUUGAACAGAACACUAGUCGCUUGCUGUAUUCUUGUCAUAUAUGCAAAGGUUAUUUUAAUUGCAAAGUAAUUCCAUAUACAGUAAAAGUAAACUUUUUCCACAGCAUGAUAAACAAUUGUGAAGGAACAGAUGACCAGAUUCUCAAAUUUGAUUGCACAAACAUUUUACAUUUUAUAAAAUUAUGGAAAUAUGUAAUUGUUGCUGUAUGGGACACAGUGGUAAUUGCCAACAUAUACUAAAACUGACUCUAGUUACCUCCAGCAUCUUACUUUGGGUGUUUAAAAUGUUUCUGCAGGCUGUAAAAAGGACACGUGCAUCUUUUGAGUCUUGUGUGGGUUCUUGCUUAGGUACAGAGAAAAAUAUCGCUAUCGUAUGCAAUUCUUUAAUUUAAGGUUCAGGUCGAUGAAAGGGCUUUUUACCGCCAGUCUUACUGAGCAGUUUUAUGUCAGUAAUGGUGAUGUCAUGGCUCACAGCCUUACACAUGUCGUAAACAGUCAGAGCUGCUACAGAAACAGCAGUUAAAGCCUCCAUCUCAACUCCUGUCCUGCUGGUGGUGCGACACGUUGCCGUGAUGACCACAGCGUUCCACAGCUCAUCCAGGUCCAGGAUGACCGAGGUGUGCUCUAAAGGGAGCGGGUGGCAGAGCGGAAUGAGAGUUGAGGUCUGUUUAGAGCCCAUGAUGCCGGCUAACUGGGCCACCGCCAUAGCGUCACCCUUACCCAGCUGGUUGUCCUGCAGUAGUCCAAACGCAACGGGGCCCAAAAGGACGGUGGCAUGGGCCGUGGCUACGCGACGUGUGGGGACUUUAUCGCCAACAUCUACCAUGUUUGCUCGGCCUUGUGCAUCUGUGUGCGUCAGCUGAGCUUCUGGGGUACCAUCCAGGUUUGGGCUGCUUGCAUCACUUGGAGAUUGGGAGAUUUUGAGAUUGGGAUCUUGGCUGGAUGUAUCGUGAUGAUAUUGUCUCACACCGUGUUGUGUACAGUUUACGUUGGCCUUCAUUUGUAAUUGUCUCCUCAAAAUGUGGAAGCACCUAAUACUAUGAUUAGUUUGAGUGGUCACAAUGCUUGUGUCAUUAACAAGGGAGGUUUGAUCACCACCAAAUUCAUACAAGCGUCCUCCUGCAUUGAUAAAGUGCUCAGCCUUGUUUGGGUUUUCAUUAAGAUAGGAGCCUCUAUGCAUUAAGUUUCUAGAGCAGCAGCUAUGUGCUGCCUGUGCUGAAGCCGUGUAGUCUAGAAGGCACAAAAGGUUCAGGAAUGCCUUUCUAUCUGUAGGAGGAGGAGAGAACAAUGUUGUCUUAGCACGCCGUGUGACAAUGGAAAUACAUCUGGAUCAUGUUUCAUGUCAAGUAGUGAUAUUUUCUCUCCGAGAACUGUCUCUUUUAUUUUGCUGAUAACAGAUCUUAUUGACCUAAGUCAAAAAUCAUUUCUACAUAAGGGAUAAUAAGGCUUAAACAGGCACUAGUCAACUUUGUUAAAGGCCUCAAAAGCUGCAGCGAGGUGAAAAUAAGUUCAUGUAUGUUCGCUGUGGCGACUCCGUAAUCAGGAAAAACCCGAAAGAAACAAAUAAAAUGAUCGUUAGUCGAACUGGAAUGACAACAGCAUGUGGUUGUCACGGAAGCCUGACCACCAGGUUAAAAUCUAGAUAGACCGCGACUCCGAUUCCAUCAGUUCUGUCAAUUAUCCCUGAUUAUCAUUCAUUAGCGGUGAGUACCUAUUGAGCAUGAGCAAGUUACCACUACCUGUAUCUGUAUCUGUUUAUCCAUCUAAAUGCUCUGUAGCCGUAUCUGUACGGGUGGGGCAUAACACGGAAGUGGGCAUAGUUUAACCGAAAAGGGGCGGGGCUUCAAUCAGUACAUUAUUUUAAGUUGAAAUUGACAUUGAUUGAUCAGAAGUUGCUACAUCUAUUGUUUGCAACUCUACAACUCGCUCAAUUACUUUAUGCUUUUUUUGUCUUAUUUGUCCAGUUUUAUUUUAGAUUUGUUUUCUAUAAUGUGCCGUUAAGAGGCCCAUAAAAAAAAAAUAUAUAAAUAUAUAUACUUUGGACAUCCCUUAUCGCCAUACUCGUUUCAUGCUCAUACUCUGCAAAAAUGCAUUGUCUGUAACUUAACUGCAUACAUUUUCCAAGCUAUUAAUGAUAGAUCAAGGUCAUGACAGACCCGUGUGAGAGAUUGUACGUACAGCCACAGCGUCACCCACCGAUGAGGAUCAUAGGUCUAUUCUUCAUUUGGGAGAUGUUGAACAUGCCUGAAAAAGGAGGGGGGUCAGGGGCGAGUCUGGGUAAAUACCACAACCACUAAAAACAGCAGUAAUGUGAAUUAACUUAAAACACACACACAAGCUUACCUGCAUGUUGUUUCUUCUUCCUGCCCACCGCAGCUCCAAUAAUUUGCAGCAGCUCUUCAUCAGACGCUCCGGAGCGUAACACAUCUCGAAGGGACAUCUCAGAGUUGCCAAACAAACACACCUGAAGACAGGUGGGAAGAGUGUUGUACAGUAUGGCAGACACAACAAAAAAACACACAUUCACACACGCGGUUUUACCUUGAGGUUGCCGUCUGCAGUGAUGCGUAAGCGGUUACAGGAGCCACAGAAAUGAUCAGACAUGGAGGUGAUGAAGCCCACCUGACCUUUGAAUCCGGGCACUUUGAACGUCUGUUCGAAGAUUCCGAUUUUCAUUUAUUGUGAUUAAUUUAUUGUCCCAGGCUGAUUGCCCAUGAGACUUUUUUAAGAAUGAGAAAUCCUGCCAUGUUCUAAUCUAAUAAUAAAUAAAUCACAUGUUGGAGGGGUUCGAAGUAACAAAAAACGAAAUAACCUUGGCUGUGUCUGUGUGUCCAGCCUGGAGCUUUUCUAGGGCGGGCCACUGCUGCCUGAUGUGAUCCAACAUUUCCUGGUAGCUCACCAUCUUCUUGAAGUUCCAUUUGUUACCUGCAAAGAAAGACAGGGAGAAACAACUCAGUGGCCAAGCGUCAUGUUUACAGCUCCUUACCAACAAUAUCCAGCACAUCAGGUCUGAUAAGCGGUUCUCCUCCAGUGAGGCGGAUCUUCUCUACGCCCUCCUUGACAAAGAGGCGUGCUAGGGUCAGUACCUCUGAAGUGGACAGUAGUUGGCCUCGUGGUGUCAGCUUCACACCCUCCUCUGGCAUACAAUACUGGCCUGAGAUUGAGAAGGGAGAAUGAGUUUACCAUUAUUGAACACUUUUUACAUACAGCAAACUAACUCCAAACAAACAUUAUACUGUAUAUCAAUUCAAACUGUAAAUUUUGGCACUUAAAGAUUUAUAUAACACAUUACUUAAGCAGGUUGGAAAGUCUGUACAACAUACAUCUUCAAUUCAAGAGCUUCAACUCCAAGAACUGGGUAUGACUUUGCAUUUAUAUCAAUUGUUUUGAAAAAAAAAAAACAAAAACCUACUGUAACUACAACAUAUUUUUAUGUUUCAGGUUUUUAGCUGUAGUUUCUCAUUGGUAACAUAACAUACUUUGACAGCACUCGCUGAUUGAACAAUACGGUUGUAUGUACUUUCCAAAUGCUGGCAUUGGUAAGUGGACUUACAGCGUAGGUUGCACUUCUCAGUCAGGGAGAUGCGCAAGUAAUUGUGUUUCCGGCCAAAGUUGUCCGUUAAGAAUGAAGAAAAGGCAACAUUGUGGUCUUUCAUCCUCUCCUGGAAAGCAAAAUGACAAUGCAAAGGUCAUUUAUUAGGAUCGUGUACAUUUUUAAUUACUUUUCACUGAAUUAAAUUAGCUUCCACUGUUGCUGUGUCUAGCAGGCUGAUUUGGUAACCCUGAAUGACUUUUAGUCAUUCAUUAAACAAACAAUACCAGCCUUUUCUAAUAAAACAUACACUGGUAGCUGAACCGAAACAAGAAAAACGUGUUCUCUCCAGCUGGCUUAUUUAAAAUGCUGUAUUAAAAUAGUAUUGUGAAACUAAAGCCCAUUGCAGCACUGUGACCUUUGACUGCUGGUAAUGUGCUACUGUUAAGUCACGCUUUCAGUACAAAGGCCAGCACAAGACUGGGUAUUUGGUCACACACUAUAAACUUAAUCACAAUACUUCUAUUUUUAUGGCGGAGAUAUUCAGCUUGUUAAAAACACAGAUAAAUCUGCUAUACUGUACAACACAUUCCACUUAACUGUGUUUUGUGUAGCAUUGGAAUUGCACUCAUCCCCUGGUUGUGGGGCACAUUAUGGUGUACUACAUCAGUGCAGUCAUCAGUUUUACAGUUAGUUGAAAAGACACAAGUAAAUGCUGAAAUGCACGUCAUUAUUGACAUAUGACUAAGUUCUCCGUAGUGAGUUACCUGUCUUGUCCUGGUUUUGACGGAUGUACUUAAAUCUGGUGGAGCCAAAGUAGGAUUCCCAAGUUCAAGUUCAUUUUUCGCAUGCGUUGCACUUGAGUAAAGUCGCGCAAUAUUUACAUUAAUGCGGUCAGGCCAAAAUGUUCCGAAACGUGUCACACUCCAGUGUGUGUACAACAAGCAGCAUCUGAUGUUAGAAGCCAUGGUGGUGGUGGUACGGUGCUAAGGCAGUAAACAUUGUGUUGACACAACUCAAGUGUGUGUUUCGGUGAGAUAAACCGCAUCAGUUCACUGGGACGGAAAAGGAAAAGGCGUUGUUUCAUCAGCCAAUGGUGGCUGCUGACGUCACACGGAAUGCACGCUGGGAAGUGGAGUCUGUUUGUUGCAAACUACCGGGAUCCUACUUUAUUGUAUGCAGGUGUGCUUUUCUUUUUUCCAGCGAGGGCCACAUACUGAAAAAUGAACGCAAUGGACACUUAUCUUACUUUAAUUUAAUUUUUAUUUUUAUAAUAAUUUUGUAAAGAAA
This is a non-coding RNA of Doryrhamphus excisus (bluestripe pipefish), 5918 nucleotides long. The record is from RefSeq and is a predicted model, not a curated record. Lineage: Eukaryota; Metazoa; Chordata; Actinopteri; Syngnathiformes; Syngnathidae.